Molecule: ribosomal RNA, 253 nt
Filed under: uncultured bacterium
Lineage: Bacteria
Description: partial 16S ribosomal RNA
Rfam family: Bacterial small subunit ribosomal RNA
Source: RNAcentral
GACAGAGGUGGCAAGCGUUGCUCGGAAUCACUGGGCUUAAAGGGUGCGUAGGCGUCCCUCCAAGCAUCCUGUGAAAUCCCUCGGCUCAACCGAGGAAUGGCAGGAUGGACUGUGGGGAUUGAGGCACGUAAGGGUCAGAGGAACUCUGGGUGGAGCGGUGAAAUGCGUAGAUAUCCAGGGGAACGCCGGUGGCGAAGGCGUCUGACUGGGCGUGUUCUGACGCUGAGGCACGAAAGCGUGGGGAGCAAACGGG